This 440-nucleotide ribosomal RNA is filed under the name uncultured bacterium. Its description in RNAcentral is "partial 16S ribosomal RNA". It matches the Rfam family "Bacterial small subunit ribosomal RNA", at positions 338 to 795 of the family's 1533-position model. The record is from RNAcentral.
CCUACGGGAGGCUGCAGUAGGGAAUAUUGCUCAAUGGGGGAAACCCUGAAGCAGCAACGCCGCGUGGAGGAUGAAGGUUUUCGGAUUGUAAACUCCUUUUGUUAGAGAAGAUAAUGACGGUAUCUAACGAAUAAGCACCGGCUAAAUCCGUGCCAGGAGACGCGGUAAUAAGGAGGGUGCAAGAGUUACUCGGAAUCACUGGGCGGAAAGAGCGCGUAGGCGGGUUAGCAAGUCAGAAGUGAAAUGCUAUGGCUUAACCAUAGAACUGCAUUUGAAACUGUUAAUCUAGAGUAUAGGAGAGGAAGGUGGAAUUCUUGGUGUAGGGGUAAAAUCCGUAGAGAUCAAGAGGAAUACUCAUUGCGAAGGCGACCUGCUAGAACAUAACUGACGCUGAUGCGCGAAAGCGUGGGGAGCAAACAGGAUUAGAUACCCUUGUAGUC